CAGUCGCCGCGGGAAUACGGAGGGUGCGAGCGUUAAUCGGAAUUACUGGGCGUAAAGGGUGCGUAGGCGGUUGUUUAAGUCUGUUGUGAAAUCCCCGGGCUCAACCUGGGAAUGGCAAUGGAAACUGGACGGCUAGAGUGUGUCAGAGGAUGGCGGAAUUCCCGGUGUAGCGGUGAAAUGCGUAGAGAUCGGGAGGAACAUCAGUGGCGAAGGCGGCCAUCUGGGACAACACUGACGCUGAAGCACGAAAGCGUGGGGAGCAAACAGGAUUAGAUACCCCCGUAGUCCCUGUCUCUUAUAC
This 301-nucleotide ribosomal RNA is filed under the name uncultured bacterium. RNAcentral describes it as "partial 16S ribosomal RNA". It matches the Rfam family "Bacterial small subunit ribosomal RNA", at positions 509 to 807 of the family's 1533-position model. The record is from RNAcentral.